Molecule: long non-coding RNA, 178 nt
Organism: Cercocebus atys (sooty mangabey)
Lineage: Eukaryota; Metazoa; Chordata; Mammalia; Primates; Cercopithecidae
Exons: 3
Source: RefSeq, a predicted model, not a curated record
ACAAGGCCCCUUGAAGCUGAGGCUCAGAAGCCUGCACAGAGACACAGCCAUUGCAGUGUUUAAACCAAAGCCAGUCACUUGGCCAGCCCAGAGAUAUCCAUAUUUGAAAACAAUCAAGGAUGUUCUGGUUGGCUGUAUAACAAGAGGAAUCUGCACAGAAUAAAGGCAGAAACCGCUC